GGCGCAAGGUUGGUCUGCAGGUGGCCUCCAGGUGCAAAGUGGGAAGUGUGAGUCCUCAGUCUUGGGCUAUUCGGCCACGUGCCUGCCGGACAUGGGACGCUGGAGGGUCAGCAGCGUGGAGUCCUGGCCUUUUGCGUCCACGGGUGGGAAAUUGGCCAUUGCCACGGCGGGAACUGGGACUCAGGCUGCCCCCCGGCCGUUUCUCAUCCGUCCACCGGACUCGUGGGCGCUCGCACUGGCGCUGAUGUAGUUUCCUGACCUCUGACCCGUAUUGUCUCCAGAUUAAAGGUACGACAUUUGGAGGCCCCAGCGAGAAACGUCACCGGGAGAAACGUCACCGGGCGAGAGCCGGGCCCGCUGUGUGCUCCCCCGGAAGGACAGCCAGCUUGUAGGGGGGAGUGCCACCUGAAAAAAAAAUUUCCAGGUCCCCAAAGGGUGACCGUCUUCCGGAGGACAGCGGAUCGACUACCAUGUGGGUGCCCACAAAAAUUCCACCUCUGAGUCCUCAACUGCUGACCCCGGGGUCAGGAACUGUUGGAAACUACUGAAACUGGCCGACCUGAUCUUCAAAAUGUGCCCCUAGGAAAGGUGGAUGCCACCGUGUUCACAGACAGUAGCAGCUUCCUCGAGAAGGGACUACGAAAGGCCGGUGCAGCUGUUACCAUGGAGACAGAUGUGUUGUGGGCUCAGGCUUUACCAGCAAACACCUCAGCACAAAAGGCUGAAUUGAUCGCCCUCACUCAGGCUCUCCGAUGGGGUAAGGAUAUUAACGUUAACACUGACAGCAGGUACGCCUUUGCUACUGUGCAUGUACGUGGAGCCAUCUACCAGGAGCGUGGGCUACUCACCUCAGCAGGUGGCUGUAAUCCACUGUAAAGGACAUCAAAAGGAAAACACGGCUGUUGCCCGUGGUAACCAGAAAGCUGAUUCAGCAGCUCAAGAUGCAGUGUGACUUUCAGUCACGCCUCUAAACUUGCUGCCCACAGUCUCCUUUCCACAGCCAGAUCUGCCUGACAAUCCCGCAUACUCAACAGAAGAAGAAAACUGGCCUCAGAACUCAGAGCCAAUAAAAAUCAGGAAGGUUGGUGGAUUCUUCCUGACUCUAGAAUCUUCAUACCCCGAACUCUUGGGAAAACUUUAAUCAGUCACCUACAGUCUACCACCCAUUUAGGAGGAGCAAAGCUACCUCAGCUCCUCCGGAGCCGUUUUAAGAUCCCCCAUCUUCAAAGCCUAACAGAUCAAGCAGCUCUCCGGUGCACAACCUGCGCCCAGGUAAAUGCCAAAAAAGGUCCUAAACCCAGCCCAGGCCACCGUCUCCAAGAAAACUCACCAGGAGAAAAGUGGGAAAUUGACUUUACAGAAGUAAAACCACACCGGGCUGGGUACAAAUACCUUCUAGUACUGGUAGACACCUUCUCUGGAUGGACUGAAGCAUUUGCUACCAAAAACGAAACUGUCAAUAUGGUAGUUAAGUUUUUACUCAAUGAAAUCAUCCCUCGACAUGGGCUGCCUGUUGCCAUAGGGUCUGAUAAUGGACCGGCCUUCGCCUUGUCUAUAGUUUAGUCAGUCAGUAAGGCGUUAAACAUUCAAUGGAAGCUCCAUUGUGCCUAUCGACCCCAGAGCUCUGGGCAAGUAGAACGCAUGAACUGCACCCUAAAAAACACUCUUACAAAAUUAAUCUUAGAAACCGGUGUAAAUUGUUUCCAGAGAGAAGGACUCCCUCCUGCUUGGAAGAGACCUCACACCGUCAUCACGAUGCCAACGGCUCUGAAGGUGGAUGGCAUUCCUGCGUGGAUUCAUCACUCCCGCAUCAAAAAGGCCAACGGAGCCCAACUAGAAACAUGGGUCCCCAGGGCUGGGUCAGGCCCCUUAAAACUGCACCUAAGUUGGGUGAAGCCAUUAGAUUAAUUCUUUUUCUUAAUUUUGUAAAACAAUGCAUAGCUUCUGUCAAACUUAUGUAUCUUAAGACUCAAUAUAACCCCCUUGUUAUAACUGAGGAAUCAAUGAUUUGAUUCCCCAAAAACACAAGUGGGGAAUGUAGUGUCCAACCUGGUUUUUACUAACCCUGUUUUUAGACUCUCCCUUUCCUUUAAUCACUCAGCCUUGUUUCCACCUGAAUUGACUCUCCCUUAGCUAAGAGCGCCAGAUGGACUCCAUCUUGGCUCUUUCACUGGCAGCCGCUUCCUCAAGGACUUAACUUGUGCAAGCUGACUCCCAGCACAUCCAAGAAUGCAAUUAACUGAUAAGAUACUGUGGCAAGCUAUAUCCGCAGUUCCCAGGAAUUCGUCCAAUUGAUUACACCCAAAAGCCCCGCGUCUAUCACCUUGUAAUAAUCUUAAAGCCCCUGCACCUGGAACUAUUAACGUUCCUGUAACCAUUUAUCCUUUUAACUUUUUUGCCUACUUUAUUUCUGUAAAAUUGUUUUAACUAGACCCCCCCUCUCCUUUCUAAACCAAAGUAUAAAAGCAAAUCUAGCCCCUUCUUCAGGCCGAGAGAAUUUCGAGCGUUAGCCGUCUCUUGGCCACCAGCUAAAUAAACGG
This 2540-nucleotide long non-coding RNA is filed under the name Homo sapiens (human). RNAcentral describes it as "long intergenic non-protein coding RNA 665". Lineage: Eukaryota; Metazoa; Chordata; Mammalia; Primates; Hominidae. The record is from RNAcentral.